This 492-nucleotide ribosomal RNA is filed under the name uncultured bacterium. RNAcentral's name for it is "partial 16S ribosomal RNA". It matches the Rfam family "Bacterial small subunit ribosomal RNA", at positions 29 to 507 of the family's 1533-position model. The record is from RNAcentral.
AGUGAACGCUGGCGGUAGGCCUAACACAUGCAAGUCGAACGGCAACACAGUACGAGCGUGCGCUUCCGGGUGGCGAGAGGCGGACGGGUGAGGAAUACAUCGGACUCUACUCUUUCGUGGGGGUUAACGAAGGGAAACUUACGCUAAUACCGCAUACGCCCUACGGGUGAAAGCAGUGGAUCUUCGCGCCUUGCGCGAUUGAAUGCGCCGAUGUCGGAUUUGUUAGUUGGCGGGGUAAAUGCCCAGCAAGGCGGCGAUCCGUAGCCGGUCUGUGAGGAUGGUCAGCCGCACUGGAGGGGGAACACGGUCCAUGCGCCUACGGGAGGCACCAGUGGGCAAUAUUAGGCAGUGGGCGCGAGCCUGGCCCAGCCAUAGCGCGUGGGUGAAGGAGGCCUUCGGGUUGUAAAGCCCUUUUGUUGGGAAAGAAAAGCAGCAGGUUAAUACCCCGCUGUUCUGACGGUACCCAAAGAAUAAGCACCGGCUAACUUCGUG